UGGCAGGAGUGUUAAAGAACUUAUGGCCAUCUUCAGUUGCAGCAGAUCCUUAAAAAGUUACCAGAAAGGCUGUGUAACUGGCUGGGGGCCAGAUUUCCACAAUCCAGCAUGACAGAUCUGGUCUCUCUGUAGCAUGAACAGCGGCCAACGCCUUGGGAAUCCACUCUGUCCAUUGUCCAGCAGGGGCACUGAGAUGUCCGUCAGGGAGCCCUGCAGUGUGCCAGGCGUGCAGGAGACCACCUAGAAGCUGCAGUGUUGUGGUAGACGAAACAGACUAUCUGUGUCCUUGGGAAGCUUGUGUCCUAGGAGAUCGGACAAGUCAGCCCAGGGAGCCCUGGGAGCAACAACUUAUCUAGAGAUUUUGGGAACUGAAGCUUCUAGUGGGUCAGUGAAAGCAGGAAAAUAUCAGUUCCAGACAU
This is a long non-coding RNA of Hipposideros armiger (great roundleaf bat), 419 nucleotides long. RefSeq lists it as uncharacterized. The record is from RefSeq and is a predicted model, not a curated record. Lineage: Eukaryota; Metazoa; Chordata; Mammalia; Chiroptera; Hipposideridae. The transcript is spliced from 3 exons.